AACGAACGCUGGCGGCGUGCCUAACACAUGCAAGUCGAACGAGAUCUUCGGGUCUAGUGGCGCACGGGUGCGUAACGCGUGGGAAUCUGCCCUUUGGUUCGGAAUAACAGUUGGAAACGACUGCUAAUACCGGAUGAUGACGAAAGUCCAAAGAUUUAUCGCCAGAGGAUGAGCCCGCGUAGGAUUAGCUAGUUGGUGUGGUAAAGGCGCACCAAGGCGACGAUCCUUAGCUGGUCUGAGAGUAUGAUCAGCCACGCUGGAACUGAGAAACGGCCCAGACUCCUACGGGAGGCAGCAGUGGGGAAUAUUGGACAAUGGGCGAAAGCCUGAUCCAGCAAUGCCGCGUGAGUGAUGAAGGCCUUAGGGUUGUAAAGCUCUUUUACCCGGGAUGAUAAUGACAGUACCGGGAGAAUAAGCUCCGGCUAACUCCGUGCCAGCCGCCGCCGUAA
RNAcentral lists this ribosomal RNA (449 nucleotides) under uncultured bacterium. RNAcentral describes it as "partial 16S ribosomal RNA". It matches the Rfam family "Bacterial small subunit ribosomal RNA", at positions 29 to 523 of the family's 1533-position model. The record is from RNAcentral.